GGUUAUGAGUCAGCCUCCCCAGGGGAGGUUGCAGCAGCUGCCUUCAUGGUGAGUGAGCAGCGCCCAGGGAGGAGGCCCGGCCAGUCUCAGGAAGCCUCCCAUGGUUCCUUCGGGAUCUCUGAAUUGUCCUCACCAGGUUCAUGCUCCAGAAGGGGUCUGCACAAAGGGGGGAUCCAGGAUACCCAACUAGGGCUACCUUAGCAGAUCAACAGGCUGGCAUCCAAGUGCAGGUAGGCAGCCCCGCACAUUCUUCAUCCAGAAUCUGACCCCACCCCAACCUGCCCUUCCGAAGUUUCCCCAUUCAUCAGGGAAGCAGGACCCCUAGGGAGCUUAUGAGCCAGAGCACACUACAGCCCACCAUGGAGGAAGGCACAAGGUAGGCAGGAGGGCCUCCUGGAGGAGGCGAAGUCUGGCUGAAGACACGGAAGAGAAGGCUGACGUGCUCGGAACACAGAAGAAGUGGGAAGACGGGGAAAGCUUUAGAGGGAAACAGGCUGGGCGGUAAAAGCGCACAUGACGAGAUGUGGAUAAGAACGAAGAAGACAGAGAGAACCGUAGACAGCAACACUACCAUGAAGACCUAGGAAGCCCAGCAGGGGCGUGAUCUUUGCCAGCUGCAGAUAGUUUAAUCCUGGAAAUUCUGAGAGGGAAUGCCAGAGCCCAGAGACAGUCGGCUGCUGCUCUUCCUGUUGCUGUCCCCAUUGCUGCUGGUUUGUCCUGCUGCUGCUGCUGCUGCUGGACAUCCUGACUACAGAAGACUGGACUUGCCCCAAGGAACCCAAUGACCCUAAUCAGCAGGACAUAGCCUAUAGAGGUCUAUGCCCCUUUCCCAUCUAACCUUAUGUCUCUCCUACCUGGUGCUGGGAUGUUAGAAGAAAUAAGGGUUGAAAGAGAGGUAGAGGUCUAAGAACCUAAAUAAAAUAGAUAAGCAAAUAUGCCAACAAGUGAGGAGAAGAGAGAGCUGGCCCAGCCCUACUGGAUUUCAUAUACAGGGCUCCCCAAGGGCUAAACCUCAGAUAAUUGUCAUCGGGGAGGUGGGCCAGGCAAAGGCAGUCAUCAAAAUGCGUUUGCAUACUUGCUUAAUAAAAUAAAGCUAUAAUGUACAAAGACAGAUAAUUAAUUGCCCAUCACAUUCUCCCUCAUCUCCCUUCCCUCCUCCCCACAUUAGUCCUGUAGCCCACAUCACACUCCGCCACUUUCUUCCCGCUGAAUCAGCAGAUUUCCACCUAGUCCAGGGGAGCCCCGGCCCAAUAAAUAUGUGCUUAUUAAGUGAGCUGUGGCCAGUCAGGCCUGCCCUGCUGCAAUCUUGGCCCGUU
Long non-coding RNA from Psammomys obesus (fat sand rat), 1316 nucleotides. RefSeq lists it as uncharacterized. The transcript has 3 exons. NCBI's taxonomy places the organism in Eukaryota, Metazoa, Chordata, Mammalia, Rodentia, Muridae. The record is from RefSeq and is a predicted model, not a curated record.